GACGAACGCUGGCGGCGUGCCUAAUACAUGCAAGUAGAACGCUGAAGCGAGGAGCUUGCUCUUCUUGGAUGAGUUGCGAACGGGUGAGUAACGCGUAGGUAACCUGCCUUGUAGCGGGGGAUAACUAUUGGAAACGAUAGCUAAUACCGCAUAACAAUAGGUGACACAUGUCAUUUAUUUGAAAGGGGCAAUUGCUCCACUACAAGAUGGACCUGCGUUGUAUUAGCUAGUAGGUGAGGUAACGGCUCACCUAGGCGACGAUACAUAGCCGACCUGAGAGGGGGAUCGGCCACCCUGGGACUGGGACACGGCCCAGACUCCUGCGGGAGGCAGCAGUAGGGAAUCUUCGGCAAUGGUGGCAACCCUGACCGAGCAACGCCGCGUGAGUGAAGAAGGUUUUCGGAUCGUAAAGCUCUGUUGUAAGUCAAGAACGAGUGUGAGAGUGGAAAGUUCACACUGUGCCGGUAGCUUACCAGAAAGGGCCGGCUAACUACGU
RNAcentral lists this ribosomal RNA (496 nucleotides) under uncultured bacterium. Its description in RNAcentral is "partial 16S ribosomal RNA". It matches the Rfam family "Bacterial small subunit ribosomal RNA", at positions 28 to 506 of the family's 1533-position model. The record is from RNAcentral.